Long non-coding RNA from Phasianus colchicus (ring-necked pheasant), 1490 nucleotides. RefSeq lists it as uncharacterized. The record is from RefSeq and is a predicted model, not a curated record. NCBI's taxonomy places the organism in Eukaryota, Metazoa, Chordata, Aves, Galliformes, Phasianidae.
CGCGUAACCCGGCGGGAAGCUCUCCGCCAUCACCUCACGGUGUUCGCGCGCCUCCGUCCCCACACCGGCUCCCGCGGGAGCACGGGUGGAAGCCAAGCUCGAGUUCCAAGCCCCCUCCCCGUUCUGUGAUUCUGUGAUUCUCCCCGUGCAUGGAAACGGCUUUUAACGCCGCUUACGUUUCCCUUCGUCCGCCUCAGCCCCACCUGCGGCAGGACGAAGCUGAGGGGCCGGCGGGAGAGGAGUUCUGUGAGGGAGGACGGCAGUUGGGAGCGCAGCCCGGCCCUGCUGCCUUGGGAAGCCGCACCGCGUCAGGCCUACAAGGUGCUUAAACGGAGAGGCAAUCAGUAUGCACAUGGAAGUUAAAUUACUGAUCUGGGACAAUAAUCAAGGAAUCAGCUGAGUCGAGGAGAACAUGAACAUGUAGCUGGGAGGAACCAGAAACUGAAGAGCACAACUUGCACACCACUUAGCCAGCAUUCCUGCCUGGAUGCUGCUGCUGCUACAAAAAUAUCUGCCCCAGCCCAAAAGCAAUCCGGCUCUCCAGAAAGCCAGCCUGAGCCUUACAGCCUGUGCCAGAGAGUUGGUGAAUGUUUGCAGAGCAUGAUGAAAGCCAGAGCGGGCUAAAUGCUACUUAUUAUCGGAUUCUGUGGGUGGGACACAUGCUGGUUUUCUGUUGCUUUUUCUCUCUCUCUUUGUAAAUGCUCAUCAAAAGAGCCAAGGCAUUAGUCAUAUACUGCAAGAAACUCGGAGAAACAACAAAAACAGAACAAGCAGCUCCCUGGGUCAGAUUAAAGCCAGAACCUGCUUGUUUCUUUGGGCUCAUAUCACAGCGGCCUCACAGGGAAGCUGCUCAGACACUGAGCCCAGGUCAGCAGCACUCAGCAGCUCUGCAGCUGCUGUCCUCACUCCCAGGCUGUUCAAAAGUCAGAGCAAGCCAACGUCCCGCUGCAGACUAGCAAGUUACUAACUUGCUUUUAAUUGUGCCCACUUGCUCCUGCUUCCCAAGACAUUUCUGGAAGCGUGUUUAGCACAUAAGUUUUGCCCCAUAACUGGAGCAGGGCUCUCCCCAGCAUUCCUGUAAGAGGGAAUUUGGCUGUGUCUGAGCAGGAGCACUAUGAAACAGGCUGCUGCUGCACGUCUGGGUCACACACACAACCACACUGGUUUGGCCAAGCGAUACCCCUUCUUGCUCCAGAAAUCUCCCUCGUGAUGGAACUGUCUGCCAAGGACCACGUCCAGAUCCUGGACUCUUUCCUGUACAGAGGGAAAAGCGUCUGCCACAAAACAGCAGGGCUCUUACAGUGAGACUUCUGCAAAGGCAAGAGAGUGCUGCCUGGCACAGCUGAGGCACAGGCCAGUUCAAAGACACCACACACUACCACUGCGACGUGCCAACAUGCAAAGCUUCUCCAGGACACUGGGAAUCCUGCCCUGAACAACUAGACACCUGCUUGCCCCAGCUGCUAGAGAAAACAAGUCUUCAUUGCUAA